This 123-nucleotide ribosomal RNA is filed under the name Ulocladium sp. XJ07072-3. Its description in RNAcentral is "partial 18S ribosomal RNA". The stretch from base 63 to 123 matches the Rfam family "5.8S ribosomal RNA", at positions 1 to 61 of the family's 154-position model. Lineage: Eukaryota; Fungi; Ascomycota; Dothideomycetes; Pleosporales; Pleosporaceae. The record is from RNAcentral.
AGGACAAACCAUAAACCUUUUGUAAUUGCAAUCAGCGUCAGAAAAAAAAAAUUAAUAAUUACAACUUUUAACAACGGAUCUCUUGGUUCUGGCAUCGAUGAAGAACGCAGCGAAAUGCGAUAA